UUUCCGUAGGUGAACCUGCGGAAGGAUCAUUACCUUUCAAUGCAGCAGAAUUGGGAUGGUUGAGUAUCUCGCCUCUCAGUUCUGCCUGUAUUCUACCCUUGUUUGUCAUAUACUAUUAUUUCCUCGGCAGGCUUGCCUGCCGAGUGAAACCAUUUAUAACCUUUUUAAUUUUCAAUCAGCGUCUGAAAAAAUUAAUAAUUACAACUUUCAACAACGGAUCUCUUGGUUCUGGCAUCGAUGAAGAACGCAGC
This 251-nucleotide unclassified non-coding RNA is filed under the name uncultured fungus. RNAcentral describes it as "sequence contains ITS1, 5.8S rRNA gene". The stretch from base 203 to 251 matches the Rfam family "5.8S ribosomal RNA", at positions 1 to 49 of the family's 154-position model. Lineage: Eukaryota; Fungi. The record is from RNAcentral.